RNAcentral lists this long non-coding RNA (1234 nucleotides) under Trifolium pratense (red clover). Its description in RNAcentral is "long non-coding RNA (TPRA_LNC007325)". Lineage: Eukaryota; Viridiplantae; Streptophyta; Magnoliopsida; Fabales; Fabaceae. The record is from RNAcentral.
GAAAAAAUACUGCUGAUGCGUGCCUUAUUGCUUACAAAGAUCCUUAUUCAGCUCACUUUGCCAGUAGUUUUUUCAAUGGUAUUUCUUUGAACUACAUUUUGGUUUUGGUUUUGUAUAACAUGAAAUGGAAUUAAUUCUCAUUGCUUUUGGUUUUGUAGUUUUUUUUUUUAAUUAUAUUCAUGAUUCAUGAGAUUAUAUGUGAUGUGUGUUCAAUCAGACUUGGUAGUCCUAAGGUUUAGAUUUUUGUAAUUAUUUUACUUAGAAAUACCAAGGGGCUUAUAGCUCAAUGGUGCUUCUAAUCAUAUGGCUUUUUGUGCUGUCAAUUAUCAGUGCAUGCAUGCUAGCAGCUAGCUUGGCAUCCAUCUUCACUAUCCUGCAACUAUCAUCUCUAUCCUGCAUCUAACAAUACAUAUCGUUUGCUAAGAAGUAUUUGAUAGAUAAACUCUUGCUGAAUCUAGGAUUGUUAAAUUAAAAACCAUGCAUCAUGCAUAUGCCCUUCAGCAUGACUCAAUGAGUUCAAGGCUUGCAAUAAUGGAUUAAGCUUAUUUUCACUAUAUUUGCUUUGAUUAUGUUACAUUUUCUGCACAUGAAUUAUGGUUUCUAUUGUCAUUAUAUAAGACUUUGAAUUAGUUAAGAAAAUUGUGUUUCAAGUUUGGGAGCUUUUACACAAAAACUGGUGCUUGUAUUUUGGACGGAACAUGCUUCUUUUGUUACUUAACUCUCAUACCAUAUAUUUGACCUACUAUUGGAUGAAACAUGUUGCAUUUUGUUACUUUACUUUCUCAACUUUCAUACCAUAUAUUUGACACACUUCUUUUAUUGCAGGUGCACCUAUAAUAGGUAUGCUUUUUGAGAAGAUAGAAUAAGAUACUGAUGCACAUGAUAAGAACGUUGAGGGAUAAGGAGAAGAAAAAGGAAUAGAAUGGUAAAACUGAUGCAUAGUAUAGGGAGGAUCGUGUAAUGUACAUAUAUGCUAUCAUACAUAUAAAACCACACAUUCAAUUUGUUGACUCUAUAUUUGAAGAGAUUAUUAUGCAAUGGCUUAAAUUUUGAAUUUGGAGUUAGACAAAAGUUAUGUAUUUUAGGGCUUUACGAAAACUAUGAUUUAAUUUUUUUUCUUAUUAUGUUUUCUAUCCUUGGGCAAGUGAAUUAUGUAACCUUAGUUGUAGUAAUAACUUCAUUCUAUUUCUUAACAAGUACAUUGAAGAAUAUUUGAAGUACAUUUUCAUUUCUA